AGUUAGAAAGCGAACGUCGCACCCAGUUUCGACCUGGGCCCCGGUAAAAUACCUCUAACUA
This 61-nucleotide transfer RNA is filed under the name Macrobrachium bullatum. RNAcentral's name for it is "tRNA-Arg". The record is from RNAcentral. Lineage: Eukaryota; Metazoa; Arthropoda; Malacostraca; Decapoda; Palaemonidae.